This 646-nucleotide ribosomal RNA is filed under the name uncultured Staphylococcus sp. Its description in RNAcentral is "bacterial SSU rRNA". It matches the Rfam family "Bacterial small subunit ribosomal RNA", at positions 26 to 654 of the family's 1533-position model. Lineage: Bacteria; Bacillati; Bacillota; Bacilli; Caryophanales; Staphylococcaceae. The record is from RNAcentral.
AGGAUGAACGCUGGCGGCGUGCCUAAUACAUGCAAGUCGAGCGAACAGACGAGGAGCUUGCUCCUCUGACGUUAGCGGCGGACGGGUGAGUAACACGUGGAUAACCUACCUAUAAGACUGGGAUAACUUCGGGAAACCGGAGCUAAUACCGGAUAAUAUAUUGAACCGCAUGGUUCAAUAGUGAAAGACGGUUUUGCUGUCACUUAUAGAUGGAUCCGCGCCGCAUUAGCUAGUUGGUAAGGUAACGGCUUACCAAGGCAACGAUGCGUAGCCGACCUGAGAGGGUGAUCGGCCACACUGGAACUGAGACACGGUCCAGACUCCUACGGGAGGCAGCAGUAGGGAAUCUUCCGCAAUGGGCGAAAGCCUGACGGAGCAACGCCGCGUGAGUGAUGAAGGUCUUCGGAUCGUAAAACUCUGUUAUUAGGGAAGAACAAAUGUGUAAGUAACUAUGCACGUCUUGACGGUACCUAAUCAGAAAGCCACGGCUAACUACGUGCCAGCAGCCGCGGUAAUACGUAGGUGGCAAGCGUUAUCCGGAAUUAUUGGGCGUAAAGCGCGCGUAGGCGGUUUUUUAAGUCUGAUGUGAAAGCCCACGGCUCAACCGUGGAGGGUCAUUGGAAACUGGGUACCAUUGAAUCAAAAA